Molecule: long non-coding RNA, 1942 nt
Organism: Andrographis paniculata
Lineage: Eukaryota; Viridiplantae; Streptophyta; Magnoliopsida; Lamiales; Acanthaceae
Exons: 6
Source: RefSeq, a predicted model, not a curated record
GGAAAUUUGAAGAGAUUUUGAGGGCAGAAAACCCACAAAUUACCGAUGCACAAUUAGGUGUUCAACUUCAAGAUAACUUUGUUUCGUGGUUUGCUAAAUAUGCAUCACAAAACGAAGAGCUUGAUUGUAUAUUUAGAGACAUUGUGCAUGGUCCAUUGAUGAAAGUUGACACUUACACUAUCUGCUUCGUAAAUGGAUAUUAUUUCCAUAAUGAGAAUCGUGGUUCCACAAGAGAAACUUACAAUAGUGGAGUAUCCAUAGAAGGUGGUGGACUCGAAUAUUAUGGAAAGAUUGAAGAAAUUUUGGAAAUAGAGUUCCCGUCACUCCCGAUUAAACGGUGUGUUGUUUUUAAAUGUAAUUGGUAUGAUCCUACAAUAGGUGUGGGUACAAAAAAAUAUGAGAAAUAUAACAUAGUAGAGAUCAACAAAAUGAAGCACCUCCAAACAUAUGAGCCAUUUAUUUUGGCAAUGCAAGCAUCACAAGUAUCCUACAUCUCGUUCCCAAGCACAAAAAGAGACAAAGAUGAUUGGGUUGCAGUUUGUAGAGUUAAGCCUCACGAUUGGAUUGAAAUAAAAGAGGGGGAUAAAAAGAUGAUGAUUGAACAUUAAACUUAUCAAGACCCCACAGUACAGACAUGAAGCAUUGAAGUGGUUAGUAUUGCAGAGGGUUUCAAUCUGGUGGAUGUUGAUGGUGAUAGUGGAAUCCCAUUGGUUGUAUUUGAUAUUCGGAUGAUGAAGAGGUGUAUAUGGAAACCAACGAGGAUGAAACAUUAUUAUUUGAGUUGUCAACUGAUGAAGAAGAUUCUAAUACAUAGUGAGAAAUGAAAUAUUUUAAAUAAUUGAUGUCUCGAGAUCGCUCUUGGGAUCAGAUGCAAAGGAUAUUGAUGAGGCCCUUCUACUUGUUAGAGCCCAAGAGGGUCAGGGUGAGCGUUGUGAUGAUGCACUUGCGCAUCCAGAUGAUGACCCAGGUUCAGCUCCGCCUCCAGCUUCAUCCACUACUGGGGCCCGGUCUUCGAUCAUCGUUUAGGAUGAUGGCAUGUUUGAGAUUAUUUGAAUGGAAUGAAUAUUUGUUUAAAAAUUAUUCUUAUAAUUUUAAUAUGAUUAAUAUUUCAGCCUAUUUUGGCCACGUAAGGUUACUAGAAAAUUCUGUCAAGUGUUUCGAUCUAAUGUUGAUGAGGCUGGAAUCACUUGGAAUAAGGUUCCAGCAAUCAUAAAGGAAUGGUAUUGGAAAAAAUUUAAGUGGAUGGUCAAGUUAAGGAGAAGUUGAAAUCCAAGGCUCGCGCUGCAUAUGGUAAUUGGAUGUAUGAUAUUAGAUCUGGCCGGGGGACAAAUCCGGAUGAGCAAAUUGAUGAGACAAUAAUGGUUGAGUGGCGGAAAAUUUGGUGAUCUGAUGAUGCAAAACAUAAAUCAGAUACAACAAAAAAUAAUAGGCAUCGUGGGAAUAUGACUGGUCGUGCUAAGUCGACGCACACUGGUGGCUCACGAUCUUUUAUGGAGUCAGCGCAAAAGCUGAGUGAGGUGGAUGCCGUUGAAGCACAAAUGACUCAAUAAGGAAAUACAUCAUAUGAUCUGGAUAACGUAUUUCUCACUGUAGUACGACGUGACAAAAAAAUCGUAUAUAUGGGCUGGGAUCACUAGUGGAGACUGUUCCUCCUCGACCAUCAUCCUUCUGCAACGAUGGUCGUACUCCAGUGACAUUCAUCCUUGAAGAACGAUUGACAAAGAUGGAGUGUGACCUAAGUGAGUUGCGGACAAAGCUUGGUGAGGGAUGUAGUCAUUGGGAAAUAAUGCAACAACGCGUUACAAAUAUGGAGAAUAAAAAAAGAGCCAUAUACAAAUUGAACUUGACCAUUAUGGAGUAAUUACAACGUAUUGAAGCAUCAUCUAUUCAUAGGCCCGACCCCGAUUCAGAUGGUGGUAGUGCUCCGGUAUCAUGAUAUUUC